GUCUGACUGUUUAGGUCUAGGUAUGACGGGUAUUGUUCAUACUUUUUAUAUAACUUUAACUUUGAUUUAUAAAAAAAAAUUGUAGCAAAGGAUUCUGUUUUCUUUCUAAUUGUUUCAAUCCAAUACAUUAAUAAGCAACCAAUUUGAAUGUCAUACCAUUUGUGGUGUUCGAAAGAAUUUGUUUAUAUUUGCAGAUUAAAUAAUAAAAUAAACACGUCUUUUCCUGUUAUUUUAAAUUCAAAUUUUCUUCUGUUUCAGCUUGUGUACAGUUAUUCAAUCCACUACGUAAGAAUUCAGUGAAUACAUUAUUCCAUUCACUAAACAUUUUUGCAAAUUGUUCUUCAAUGAUCUUCUUCCAUAUAUAUAUUUGAUAUGAGGGAGCGAUGUAAAUGUGUGGAUAAAACUGGUGUUCCUUUUUUCAACAACAAAAUAGUAUUUUUUCUGCAUUUCUCCUUUCUUUCGACUAAUAUAUAUAAUAUGUUGUUGCUUUUAUACAAUAGUGUUUUGUGUAUCUAUGAUAGAACUCCAUUUUGUUUAUGGCCAUUAUCAUGUGAUUAUGAUGAAAUUUCCUAUUUCUUUU
Molecule: long non-coding RNA, 580 nt
Filed under: Mytilus galloprovincialis (Mediterranean mussel)
Lineage: Eukaryota; Metazoa; Mollusca; Bivalvia; Mytilida; Mytilidae
Source: RNAcentral